UACAGAGGGGGCAAGCGUUGUUCGGAAUUACUGGGCGUAAAGGGCUCGUAGGCGGCCAACUAAGUCGGACGUGAAAUCCCCAGGCUCAACCUGGGAACUGCGUCUGAUACUGGAUGGCUUGAAUCCGGGAGAGGGAUGCAGAAUUCCAGGUGUAGCGGUGAAAUGCGUAGAUAUCUGGAGGAAUACCGGUGGCGAAGGCGGCAUCCUGGACCGGCAUUGACGCUGAGGAGCGAAAGCCAGGGGAGCAAACGGGG
This 254-nucleotide ribosomal RNA is filed under the name uncultured bacterium. RNAcentral's name for it is "partial 16S ribosomal RNA". It matches the Rfam family "Bacterial small subunit ribosomal RNA", at positions 524 to 777 of the family's 1533-position model. The record is from RNAcentral.